AGUCGAACGAAGUAGCAAUACUGAGUGGCAAACGGGUGAGUAACAUGUGGGAAUCUGCCCUUCGGUUUGGAAUAACAUGGGGAAACCUGUGCUAAUACCAGAUAAGUCUUUACAGAGAAAGCUUUAUGCGCCGAUGGAUGAGCCCGCACUUGAUUAGUUAGUUGGUGAGGUAAUAGCUCACCAAGACAAUGAUCAAUAGCUGAUUUGAGAGGAUGAUCAGCCACAUUGGGACUGAGACACGGCCCAAACUCCUACGGGAGGCAGCAGUGGGGAAUCUUGCACAAUGGGGGAAACCCUGAUGCAGCGAUGCCGCGUGAGUGAAGAAGGCCUUUGGGUUGUAAAGCUCUUUCGUCGGGGAAGAAAAUGACUGUACCCGAAUAAGAAGGUCCGGCUAACUUCGUGCCAGCAGCCGCGGUAAUACGAAGGGACCUAGCGUAGUUCGGAAUUACUGGGCUUAAAGAGUUCGUAGGUGGUUAAAAUAGUUGGUGGUGAAAUCCCAGAGCUUAACUCUGGAACUGCCAUCAAAACUUUUUAGCUAGAGUAUGAUAGAGGAAAGCAGAAUUUCUAGUGUAGAGGUGAAAUUCGUAGAUAUUAGAAAGAAUACCAAUUGCGAAGGCAGCUUUCUGGAUCAUUACUGACACUGAGGAACGAAAGCAUGGGUAGCGAAGAGGAUUAGAUACCCUCGUAGUCCAUGCCGUAAACGAUGUGUGCUAGACGUUGGAGAUUUUAUUUUCAGUGUCGCAGCAAAAGCAUUAAGCACACCGC
This 765-nucleotide ribosomal RNA is filed under the name alpha proteobacterium SCGC AAA001-G11. RNAcentral describes it as "SSU rRNA". It matches the Rfam family "Bacterial small subunit ribosomal RNA", at positions 60 to 872 of the family's 1533-position model. Lineage: Bacteria; Pseudomonadati; Pseudomonadota; Alphaproteobacteria. The record is from RNAcentral.